Long non-coding RNA from Globicephala melas (long-finned pilot whale), 501 nucleotides. RefSeq lists it as uncharacterized. The record is from RefSeq and is a predicted model, not a curated record. NCBI's taxonomy places the organism in Eukaryota, Metazoa, Chordata, Mammalia, Artiodactyla, Delphinidae.
UAAGCACCCAAGUGCUCCUCUAGGUUGGGUAUCAAGGAAUAGGGGGAGUUUGGGGAUAGACGUCCCAGUGCUGGCUUCACCAUCCCACAGUGGAAGGGAACUCUCUGAAGGCUCCAAGCUCCUCUGCACUGUCCGUGAGAAUGUUUUCUUCCAUGAGAACUUUUCUUCAGAACCUGGUACCUGGACAGCACCACUCUGCACCUGGAUUACCAGUUACCUGUUUAUUAUAAAGAAUAUUAAAGGAUACAAAUCAACAGGCAGAUGAAGGGAUACACAGAGGGAGGUCCUGAACAAAGGAGCCCCUGUCUUCAUGGAGUUCGGGACCUGGCACGUGGACGCGUUCUGGUUCCCUAACUUAGAAGGCUCUGGACGCGCAGGCUCAGCGGCCACAGCUCACGGGCCCAGCCGCUCCGCGGCACGCGGGAUCCUCCCGGACCGGGGCACGAACCCAUGUCCCCUGCAUCGGCAGGCGGACUCUCAACAACUGCGCCACCAGGGAAG